Long non-coding RNA from Oncorhynchus kisutch (coho salmon), 1209 nucleotides. RefSeq lists it as uncharacterized. The record is from RefSeq and is a predicted model, not a curated record. The transcript is spliced from 3 exons. Lineage: Eukaryota; Metazoa; Chordata; Actinopteri; Salmoniformes; Salmonidae.
UGGUUAAUGUUUCUCAAAAUGGACAAACAGCACUAUUGCCCCUUUUUUUCUCGUAUUUCAAGCGAGUGUAUUUUAAGGGAGUAUGCAAGCACACUCGUUCGAUUCAGCUAGCCGAGCAAUUUUACAUCGAACUAAGAUGUUUGGUGCAGUAUUUCGCAAUGAAAUGUUUUAAUGAAUGCCAACUAAUACUUAAUUGAAGAAUCCCUACAGCUGUUGACCAAUCACGUACACUUCAACUGCUGAAUUUAGCCUGGCCUUGAGCAAAAAUGUAGUGUGCACGAACACCCGAAAAAAAACUACCGAAGUCCAAACUGACAAAAACUUAAAAUUCUAUCAUAAUAUAUGCAUGAACUCUUCCGAAAUGUUAUGGCUGGGAGACAUGCGGACCCUUGCCUAUGCUAAUAGAAUACAGGCAGUCUAUGUCGCAUUAUAAACAGAUUACACGGUUCAUAGACAUUAUUAUAAUUUCCUAGCACUCAACCAAACAAAAAAUGCAAGGCUGGUUGGAAUAUGAUCCUUAUUAAUUAACAGUGCACCCGCUGUUUUCCGAGCAAGUAACUCUGCUUAAAAGUAAUAAGGACUGGCACACUGACAAUAAACAGGUAUACUGCUAGCUGGUUAACUGACAAACAUACAGUAAUCUACACAGUUAAGAUUGUUAAACAAUCUCCAUGACCAAUCGACAAGCCAAUCAGACUUCCACUCCCUCUCCAUUCUCUGUAGUGCAGGUGUGUGGGUAAGGGCACAGAUAUAGGUCUGAGUGGCAGCAUCACGGGAGGAGCAGUAAGGCCCUAUGUCUUUCUGCAGGACCACCUGAUGUGAGGUGGCCAUGGGUUGGUGCUGCUGCCGAAUGCUGCUCUGCUGGCUCCUUUCCAUCGCACUUUCCCUCUGGGCCCUAAACACUACAGGCCAAGGUUCAGUGUCAGGGCCUGGGAUGGAGUGAGGACUCUGGGCUAAGGCAGUCAGGUAUGUCUGUGUGCCAACCUCACAGAGCAAGGACCUCGACUGAUAUCUGGCAACUCUGUCCCAAACCUGCCACGGGUGCAAAACAUUGGACUGGGAUGGUGAUGUCCCAAUGAUGUUGGUCUCCAGGUCCUUUGACCCAAUGUCUGUCCUAUGGAGGUCUCUACCCAGAUUUAUCCCAAUGCUGUCUGCUUUGGGGUGGACUGUCCGAAGUUGGUCCAUUCUGAGCUGCUUACAAUCAUUUCU